Molecule: ribosomal RNA, 307 nt
Filed under: uncultured bacterium
Lineage: Bacteria
Description: partial 16S ribosomal RNA
Rfam family: Bacterial small subunit ribosomal RNA
Source: RNAcentral
AGACAGCAGUAGCCGCGGGAAUACGUAGGUGGCGAGCGUUGUCCGGAAUUAUUGGGCGUAAAGGGAGCGCAGGCGGACAUAUAAGUCCAUCUUAAAAGUGCGGGGCUCAACCCCGUGAGGGGAUGGAAACUGUAUGCCUUGAGUGCAGGAGAGGAAAGCGGAAUUCCCAGUGUAGCGGUGAAAUGCGUAGAUAUUGGGAGGAACACCAGUGGCGAAGGCGGCUUUCUGGGCUGUAACUGACGCUGAGGCUCGAAAGCCAGGGGAGCGAACGGGAUUAGAUACCCGUGUAGUCCCUGUCUCUUAUACA